Molecule: ribosomal RNA, 500 nt
Filed under: uncultured bacterium
Lineage: Bacteria
Description: partial 16S ribosomal RNA
Rfam family: Bacterial small subunit ribosomal RNA
Source: RNAcentral
AUUGAACGCUGGCGGAAUGCUUUACACAUGCAAGUCGAACGGCAGCACGGACUUCGGUCUGGUGGCGAGUGGCGAACGGGUGAGUAACAUAUCGGAACGUAUCCAAUAAUGGGGGAUAACUAAUCGAAAGGUUGGCUAAUACCGCAUACGCCCUACGGGGGAAAGCAGGGGAUCUUCGGACCUUGCGUUAAUGGAGCGGCUGAUAUCUGAUUAGCUAGUUGGUGAGGUAAAGGCUCACCAAGGCGACGAUCAGUAGCUGGUCUGAGAGGACGACCAGCCACACUGGAACUGAGACACGGUCCAGACUCCUACGGGAGACAGCAGUGGGGAAUUUUGGACAAUGGGCGCAAGCCUGAUCCAGCCAUUCCGCGUGAGUGAAGAAGGCCUUCGGGUUGUAAAGCUCCUUCGCAAGGGAAGAAAACUUACUUUCUAAUAAAGAGUGAGGUUGACGGUACCUUGAUAAGAAGCACCGGCUAACUACGUGCCAGCCGCCGCGGUAA